CCGCAGCCGAGCGGGGGAUGGGCUCCUGCCGGCCCGGGCCGCGCGGCCCCCGCGCUCUCCGGGCCCCGCACUCCAGGUUUCCGCCCCAGCGGGGAGAGGAGCGCGGCGCGCACACACAACGCCUCUUAAAGGCUCCGCGAGAGGCUUUGGAUGGAAUCGAGGACUUCGCCUCUCGCAACUUGGCGAUGCCACGGAAUCCGCCGCUCGCGCACCACCCGGGACUCCCGGCGUAUCUUUGUGCCCACAAUGCCAGAGAAAGAGAAAAGUUGCCCGGUUUCUUUGCAGAAGGGUAGUGGGUGGGGAUGGGAAGGUGCCGCGCACCGAGCUUGCAGGCGUUUUCCAAACGAAUGAUUUGGUCAAAUCCGGGUGAUGGUAGACCCUUCUCUUAAUCAACUCUGAUCACUUGCUUGGUUUGGUGGCUCACUUUUUUUUUUUCUUUUUUAGAGGAGAAAAGCCGUUCAGUAUCUGUCUUUUCCUUGUAGAGUUAACAUUUCACAGGUAUGUGGCCUGACAUUUUAAUUGCUCGAAUAAAGCAUCUCGGAUGCUGAGAAUCAGGAGUAGACUUCAUCUCGUUGUCAUGACGCAAUUAAAAUCAGUUUUCCUCAACUUUAUCCUCUUUCGUUAGUUUUGGCUAACUGGCAAGCCAACGUCCUGCCACACACCCAGUUGUGGUGAGAGCAGAAAAGACCGUUCUGCUCGCUGAUGGACAAGCGGAGGCAGCCUCCCAGCCUCCCUUGUGCGUACCCUCUGUACACAUAUGUAAGUGCACACGCAUCAGAUGCACAUUUGUCAAUGUACACAGACAAAGACUUCAGCGACUAUGCUGCUAGGUCAUAGAACAGUUGAGUACCGACUUCAUUGUUUCUCAAGUUCCUUUUAAGCAUUCAUACAAUCAUUAAAAUACACCCAGAGAUUCUGCCCCAAAUUGGGAAUAAUAGCAAGUACAACUCACAAGAACCACACACAAGCCAUAUUCUCUCUCAAGGGAUCCACUGCAAUAAGAACAGCUUCUAGCCUCUACCGUUUUGCUCCAUGUGCUAAAAUCGUCGACACAGUUGUGUCUCUGAGGUACAGGACAUUUGGUUUUAAACAUCAAACACCUAGAAUCGCCCCCCCCAGAACACACUUUAUUUCAACACAGUAACCUUUUUGUUUGAUUAUGACAAGUUAGUGGAUGAUGAUUAUUCCACAUGUAUAGAAGAAAAUUGUGACUCCAUCCUACACAUUUUGCACCAAGAAAAAACUGUAAACUGGCAAGCCAACCGGGUUUAUGAACAAUUAAAAUAUUUUACACAAAACAUGCUGAGCUUCAGGAAACGUGAACACAUAUAAAUAGUAAAUUAACAACCAAAAGAAAGCAUCCUCGAUAGUUCAAAAAAUUGAAGAGUGGCAGGAUUUAAAAAAUAAGUAAACCAUCCAUAUAACUGACAUGCGGAGAUUGCGUUUUGCACUUAACACCCUUCACACACACAGGCAGAAUACAAGGUAGAAACUAAGGGAAGAUACAGGCAGAUAGGAGCUAGUUUUUAGAGAAGGAAAAAUCCUCUUGACGCUUCAUUCCUGAAACCUUCUGAGCCCUUACCCUUUCUCCGCUGAAAUCACAUAUUUCACUAGAGCUGCAGGUGCUGGGAAUGUAUGAGAGUUGUAAAAAAAAAAAAAAAAAAAAAAAAAAAAGACCUAUAGUGGACACUAAACUAUCAUAAACCUGGUGUGUAAUGAGAUUGCCACAGAGCGAAGCUAGGCAGAGAAUUUCAGGUUGAUUAGAGACACAACAUAACUUUCUCCUAAAGAGGACAAGAAGGAUGGAAAAGAAAUCAUUUUCAGUGAAGAUUUUUUUUCUCCCUCUCUUUCAACCUCUAUGAUUUGAAGAAUUACCUAAUGCUGCAAAUGUCAGUAGAUUGUCUGCAAACUCAGCAGAGGUGUGGUGGGGCUGGGGUUGAGAUAGGAAAUCUAAUGGGCAUUCCCAUCUCAAUUUAAUAGAAGAUGAGAACAAUUGAUUAUAGGGAAAUCUUAAUCUUGCUUCUUAAGUGCAGAAGCCUCCAUAGCAAGAUCACCUUUUACAAACAUGCAGUGGGAAAAUUUGAGGAGGAAGAGCUUUCCCAGUCCACUUAGAGAUUUUUUCUGUUUCAAGUAUGCUCUGAUGGCCUCAGAUUUAAAAUGAAGAAUUUCCCAACCAUCUCCAACAGAACUGGAGCCUGCUAGGCACACGACCACAGGGCUGCCAUGAAGUCAGAGGUGUUUCGCUGUGUAUUUUAGGACUCAUUUGGUAAUGGGGAUGCUAUUACAAAGGAAACAAAAUCCUGUAAAAAUUGUAGUUAAUUUUACUGCAUAGAAGAAGAGAGAGAAUUGCAGACUGAGAAGAAAAAAGAGGGGAAAAUAUUUUAAAAUGCCUUCUUUAGAGAUGCUCAUAAAACAGCUCUAAGACCAAAAGAUAAAUAUCAAUAUGUUGUUACUAUUUUUUUUAAAAAUGCAGCCCAGUCUUUUAUUGCAGAUGUAAAUUUAUUUUAAUGAGACGAAUGGCAAGCUUUAAUUUGGCUGGAGAAAGUUGGAAAAACAUUUGUCUUACUCUGGGGGGAAAAAAAGAAAACCCACCCAGGAAUAUGAUUUUCUUGCAGAAUGUGGCCUGACGGCUGUAAUUCUUCACAAAUUAAAUCACAAUAUGAAUACAGACCCCAGCAAAUGCUGAAUUUAACUCUGAACUCAGUAGAAGCCAGUUCUGUCCACCAGGAUUCAUUGAAUUCCUCUUUUCCCUCAAUCUAGUCCGUGUGUGUUUUUCUCUUCCACCACACUGGAGCUCCAUGAAUAGGGAAAGGGGCUUCCAUUGUGUCCCUCUGAACUUCCAAGUCAAUGCAAUUUUUAACCACUGGCUUGUGGUACUUUGAAAAUCACCAGGGGCUGUCAGAGUUGGGUCCUCUGAAAAAUUUACAGUGCUAAAUCAGAGCAUAUGCUGGGAGGGAAAAAAUUGCUUAAGAUUGGAGCAAGUACAGUAUCUGUCUGCCCCCUAGUGUAAGAGUCCUCGCUGCCUAAAAUUCAACUUUAAAAGAAAAGGAGCUCUUAAAGGGAAACGACUUUGGGCUCACGUAGGCAUAGGAGAAUGAAACUUCUGUACAUUUUAAUCUGAAUAAUUCUUCAGGAUUUAAAAUUAAUUGGCUCUGGCUUGGUUGGACCGCACUCGGAUCUCGCCACCUCUGCAUUUCCCGAGUCACUGGCGGAGAGGCUCAUGAUGCAGCUGCUGCCUGCAGAGCCCUGUGCUGCUGGGGAAGCGAGUGAGGCCUCUGCAGCAGAUGGCUGGGACAGCCAUGAGAAGACCAGGAGGUGGCCACAACAACAGUGCUUUCCAGAUGAGGCUGAGACCACAGCCAAGAUCACCACGGGACGACAUCUCACGUAACCAGAGCACCUUGGUGGCACUUUGGUACGUUGGGGAUCUUGAGAGUGGAGGCAUUUCAGCAGACAGAGGUCCAGCACACCCUUGAAAGUGUUCAUAUCUGCUGGAUUCUAGAUGCAAGUCCUGUCUUCACUGGCUUCAACACGGGAGAAGCCGUUACUGGGAUGAAGGAGGCUCAUUCGUGGAGAUCAAAUCAAAGAGGGUUAGUCUGCCUACCUGAAGAAUUCUACUGAAGAAAGUCGGCCAACUACCUUUAAGUAUUAACUUCUCAACGACCCAGAAAAAGGUACCGCAGUGAACCUGAAGAAGUGCCAGUGGGCAGGUGAGAGUGGAGACGUCAGUGAGCAGUCUGAACUUCUGCCUGUCCGUGACUUGGAAACCAAAGUCCCCAAACCCUGGAGGGUUGAUGGGAGAGUGCAGGGUGGGGUGGGGGAGCAGGCUGGGUACUAGGAUGAUGUGAACGAGGCCACUCUGAGAGUGAGCACCUUCUUACAUGUGACACUCUAGGUGCCUCCUGGACCCAUUCAAAAAAUGUUGGUUCUCCAGCCUUCCUUCCCAAGGUCAGUUUGACAAAUACUUCUUGAGGGUCCACCCUGUGCCAAGUGCCAUGCUUAGUGUUGAAAGUUCUUGCUGAAUACCACAGGCUUCUGGCUCUGACCCCUGCUGCAAUCAUAGACCUCUCCGCCUUCCUUCUUCUGGAUCCCUCUACUUUGGGAAGACACAGGGUCUUUGGGUCACUUAUUAGCUGCUGGGUGGCCUAGCGUAAGUUGAUUCACUUCUCUGAAGCUUGUCUUCCUCAGCUGGAAAAAGGGGCUUGGACUCCUGCCUCACAGAGUGGAGAAGAUUGAACGUAACAGUGUCCUUAUGCUUGCCCCAAAGAUUACACACAGAAACGAUAAAGGGGGAGGCGACCACCACCCCACUGUUUACCUUCUAGCUCAUGAAGACUGCUUUUUCAGGUAAUUUAUAUCACCCUCAGCUGAAACGAUCUGCUGUUAGAUACAAGCCUCCUGUAUCUGUAGGCGCUGAGCUCUCUUCAUCAAAUAUGGUUAUCAGAAAACUGUGCCCCUUGGGACAAACGAAUUACAAAAAGGCCACCCUUCCUUCAGGCGGGUGUAGCCAGCACUGGAUGCUCAGUCUGGUGGGAGAACCAACUGGAUUGCCACUGUCCCUUCGGCUGGGCACCCUUGUGCCAGGCACAGCCUUCACGACUGUCUAUGAUGGUCCUGCCAGCACUUCACACGGGUCUUGGCCCGACAUACACACUCAGUAAAUGUUUUCAGACUCGAUUACAGUCACUGUUGUGUCUAGAAUGAUGGCAUUAUAUUUUCAAAGAAAUUACUUCAGUCAUCGGAAAGGCGUAGUGGAUAAAUUACGGAUGAAAUGUAAAAAGUCACCACAAUAGUGUUCUUUUGUCCUCUUAAAAUGUUUCUUCCUCUCAGUCGAUCAUGCAAAAGAAUAUACUAUUUCACUCCUUCUGGGUUUGCCGGAUGUAAGUGGUUACAGGUUUUUUUUAGUGACCAUGAAAAGCAUGGAGAAACUGACGUAAAACAGAUUGUUAAAGAAGGCUAUGUGUGUCGUUAUGCAUACAGGAUUCCCCACGAUGAGGUAAGGGAGGUGAAGGAGAAAUUGAGAAUAAUUUGGAGGGAAAGUUAGCUGUGAUAUAGAAUAUUUUGUUGGUUUAACUAUUUUUCUUUUGCUUCUUCAGUAAAGACGGUUUGGAUGCUGAAAGUCAAAUCAUUAAUAGAUGGAAGAGCUGCAUAGUCUUCUGUUUUGCAUUUUUAUUUUGUCUUGGUUUGUAGCAGGACCAUGAAGAGAAAUUUUAAGAAUGCAAGUUUUAUUCUCUUUCCGUGUUUUACCCUCGAGCUACAGCACUUUUGACUACAACUACCCACAAAGAGGAGAUUCUGUCAGAGGGAGGGGGGAUGUGAACCGUUUUUAUAGGUUUCAUCCUCCAAGACAGCUGCCAAGGAGGUCAGAUGCUUCUCUAUGGAGCAGGAAAUGCAAGUCUCCCUAAAAGGAAAAAAGCAGGAUGCGAUUUUAUGUAAAAGACAGGAGAACAGGGUAAAACUGAACUAAAAAAAGGAAUUGCUCUGUAUGUGGGGCAGUUGCCUUUAGUAAGAUCCUAAGGAUUAGAUUUGUAGCUCCCAAGGAGGUAAGUGAGUCGCUGUAGAUGUCUGUCUCUUAGGUGGGCUUGAAGAAUCAAAGAGAAAUGAGUUUUAGUUUGAAUAUAGAAAAUGUAGACUCUGUCACUGGGCUGAAGGAGGAGCAAAUGGCUUUUCACCCACAAGAGUAUUCCACAAACUCAUAUUCUUUUCUCUUCUUCAUUCUGAUUUUUUUUUUUUGCCUCCCCCCUUUUAUUUCCCUCAGAAUUUGUAUUAAAUUCGUUACACGUUCUUCAGGGAGAGAGGUUCUCAAGGGUUUAAUCGACUUGUAAGAUGCUAUGAAUAAAAAAAGGGGGGGAUAGGAAUUCACCAUUGCUUCGUUGGACUAAACUAUAGCUCAUCUCAAUAUACCCUUCUCCUCCAGGAAGCUCUGAGUCUCCAAGGCCUUUAUUAACUUGAUCUUUGGGAAUAGUGUUUUAAUUUUUUCCAUAAUCAUCAUGCAAAUUGAUCAUGAUAAUCUCUGGAAAGGAAAAUGAGUGAACCAAUGGCCUCAUUAAUUCCAAUGCUAGGGGGACCCACGUUCCUAAGAGCUGGGACCUUAGCCCACAGUGGCCAAGGCCUUCUUUGUGUAUGCAUUGGUCUGGUCCCCAGGGCAAGUAUGGCUUGUUCCUUGCCUGGCCUGUUUAAAUUGCCUCAUGCAUUCACUUCCUCACAAAAUAAUGAGGG
Equus caballus (horse) is the source of this 6219-nucleotide non-coding RNA. Lineage: Eukaryota; Metazoa; Chordata; Mammalia; Perissodactyla; Equidae. The record is from RefSeq and is a predicted model, not a curated record.